GGAUCCAGACUUUGAUUAUGGCUCAGGAUGAACGCUAGCUACAGGCUUAACACAUGCAAGUCGAGGGGAAACGAUAUUGGAAGCUUGCUUCCGAUAGGCGUCGACCGGCGCACGGGUGAGUAACGCGUAUCCAACCUGCCCACCACUUGGGGAUAACCUUGCGAAAGUAAGACUAAUACCCAAUGAUAUCUCUAGAAGACAUCUGAAAGGGAUUAAAGAUUUAUCGGUGAUGGAUGGGGAUGCGUCUGAUUAGCUUGUUGGCGGGGUAACGGCCCGCCAAGGCGACGAUCAGUAGGGGUUCUGAGAGGAAGGUCCCCCACAUUGGAACUGAGACACGGUCCAAACUCCUACGGGAGGCAGCAGUGAGGAAUAUUGGUCAAUGGACGAGAGUCUGAACCAGCCAAGUAGCGUGCAGGAUGACGGCCCUAUGGGUUGUAAACUGCUUUUAUAAGGGAAUAAAGUGAGCUACGUGUAGCUUUUUGCAUGUACCUUAUGAAUAAGAACCGGCUAAUUCCGUGCCAGCAGCCGCGGUAAUACGGAAGGUCCGGGCGUUAUCCGGAUUUAUUGGGUUUAAAGGGAGCGUAGGCCGGAGAUUAAGCGUGUUGUGAAAUGUAGAUGCUCAACAUCUGCACUGCAGCGCGAACUGGUUUCCUUGAGUACGCACAAAGUGGGCGGAAUUCGUGGUGUAGCGGUGAAAUGCUUAGAUAUCACGAAGAACUCCGAUUGCGAAGGCAGCUCACUGGAGCGCAACUGACGCUGAAGCUCGAAAGUGCGGGUAUCGAACAGGAUUAGAUACCCUGGUAGUCCGCACGGUAAACGAUGGAUGCCCGCUGUUGGUCUGAAUAGGUCAGCGGCCAAGCGAAAGCAUUAAGCAUCCCACCUGGGGAGUACGCCGGCAACGGUGCAACUCAAAGGAAUUGACGG
RNAcentral lists this ribosomal RNA (924 nucleotides) under uncultured Bacteroidota bacterium. RNAcentral describes it as "bacterial SSU rRNA". It matches the Rfam family "Bacterial small subunit ribosomal RNA", at positions 1 to 916 of the family's 1533-position model. The record is from RNAcentral. Lineage: Bacteria; Pseudomonadati; Bacteroidota.